Dermacentor silvarum is the source of this 363-nucleotide long non-coding RNA. RefSeq lists it as uncharacterized. The transcript has 3 exons. NCBI's taxonomy places the organism in Eukaryota, Metazoa, Arthropoda, Arachnida, Ixodida, Ixodidae. The record is from RefSeq and is a predicted model, not a curated record.
UGGGUGGACGUCGCAAAGAAUGUGUGUUAGCGCGCCUCAGCUCGUCCACUACGCAGCGGCAUGUAUGCGGGGAGUAACAUCGUCGACGCAGCACCGGCAACUUGGAGAGUGCUUCGCGACCGCGUCGUACCAUUCAAAAGUGGCGAGGCUGUGACCCAUAACAGUGCCUACAUAACGGAGGAGCCACCAGACCCCUUGGCUAUGCCUGCCGUAGUGCAACGUAUAAUCUGGAUGGUCGGGUCAGGUACACCUAGGAAAUGUUGUAUACAUUGGCAACGAUAACUGGGGCCUGCUCCAGUGCCAUCGCCGGGAUUCCCUGUUCUGCAAAAAACUGACAUAACUGAUGUGGGGAGCCCUGGCGCU